AAUUUGACUAACUUGGUUUAGGCUGUUGCUGGCUCUUUAAAAAGGGGGCAUGUGCACGCCUACUCCAAAUUUAUAACCACCUGUGCACCUUUGUGUAGAUCUGAAUAACCCUCGAGAUAAACUCGGUCUGAGGAAUUGCUGAGCAGUUCAAUACUGCUGGCUUUUCUUUACAUUUUCCGAUCUAUGUUCUAAUACACUCCAAACAAAGUAAUAGAAAUUCUUUAUAGUCAGGCAGCUGCCGGCUUGUAAUGAUAUAUACAACUUUCAACAACGGAUCUCUUGGCUCUCGCAUCGAUGAAGAACGCAGCGAAAUGCGAUAAGUAAUGUGAAUUGCAGAAUUCAGUGAAUCAUCGAAUCUUUGAACGCACCUUGCGCUCCUUGGUAUUCUGAGGAGCAUGCCUGUUUGAGUGUCAUGAAAUUCUCAACCUUUCAAGCUUUUACUAAAGCUUGGUUAGGCUUGGAUUCUGGGAGUUUGCUGGGUUCAAAGAGUCAGCUCUCCUUAAAUGCAUUAGCAAGAUCAUCAUCGUUGGAUCAGCUUUGAUAUGAUAAUUAUCUAUAUCAUUGAUGAAACAAUUGCUUGCUGCUAACUGUCUUUGUUGACAACAUAAUUUGUUCCAUAAUUUGACAUCAAAUCAGGUAGGAUGCCCGG
RNAcentral lists this ribosomal RNA (649 nucleotides) under Entoloma azureosquamulosum. Its description in RNAcentral is "eukaryotic LSU rRNA". The stretch from base 260 to 413 matches the Rfam family "5.8S ribosomal RNA". The record is from RNAcentral. Lineage: Eukaryota; Fungi; Basidiomycota; Agaricomycetes; Agaricales; Entolomataceae.